Molecule: ribosomal RNA, 418 nt
Filed under: Acanthamoeba sp.
Lineage: Eukaryota; Discosea; Longamoebia; Acanthamoebidae
Description: SSU rRNA
Rfam family: Eukaryotic small subunit ribosomal RNA
Source: RNAcentral
AAAAUUAGAGUGUUCAAAGCAGGCAGAUCCAAUUUUCUGCCACCGAAUACAUUAGCAUGGGAUAAUGGAAUAGGACCCUGUCCUCCUAUUUUCAGUUGGUUUUGGCAGCGCGAGGACUAGGGUAAUGAUUAAUAGGGAUAGUUGGGGGCAUUAAUAUUUAAUUGUCAGAGGUGAAAUUCUUGGAUUUAUGAAAGAUUAACUUCUGCGAAAGCAUCUGCCAAGGAUGUUUUCAUUAAUCAAGAACGAAAGUUAGGGGAUCGAAGACGAUCAGAUACCGUCGUAGUCUUAACCAUAAACGAUGCCGACCAGCGAUUAGGAGACGUUGAAUACAAAACACCACCAUCGGUUGCGCGGUCGUCCUUGGCGUCUCGGUUUCGGCCGGCGCGCGGGGAUGGCUUAGCCCGGUGGCACCGGUGAA